CGAAGAUGACAAGCAGCUUUGAAUUCCUUCUGUUUUCAUGUUGAGCAGCAGCUGCUGCUAGAGCCUGGUAUGUCUGAGAUGAUUCCCACUCAUCACUGACUCUCUUGGGUGAGAGGAAGCGCCACACUCAUCCCUAGAAGAGUAUGAAGAAAAAGUGGAGGAAGCUGGAACUAAGUUCAAUGCAGCUCAACAGCUAUGAGAAGUAUGCCGCUGUGGGAUGUUCAGAGUGGAGGAGGCCACACAUGUGCAGGUGCCGCUCUGGAAACAUCUGGGCUGUGAAGGUGAACACUGCAGGAGAGGAGCAGUAGACACCACAUGGAUGCUGAGAAUUGAACCUGGGUCAUUUGGAAGAGCAGCUGAUAAUCUCCUAAUUGCCAAGCCACCUCUCCUGUCCCUGUCCACUGCUUCGGUAGCCGAGUAUUCUUUGUUUGUUUUAAGCCUGAGUCUCAUGUGGCCUGGAUGAUCUCACCCUGACUGUGUAGAAGAGGAUGACCUUAAACUCCUGGUCCUCCUGCCUCCACCUUAGAAGUCUGGGAUUACAAGUGAGCUGCUGUGUCUGGUGUUGCAAACACUUUUCUAUAUUAAUCUGCCUUAAACAUGACUUUAUUUUAUUCUUUAAGUACUAUAGUUGAGUGUUAACUAUUGGAAAUGUGCAUCCAACAUUUUCAAUUACAUAUUACACAUGAGUGAACAGUUUUAUAAGGAAACCCACUGUGCAUACCAUGAAUAUUACUUUGGCUAGUGAAACAGUGAGCCAAGGGGGAUGAACACUUUCAGGCUCUGGUACAUUUUGCUUACUUGCUUUUUGGUAUAAUAAAUUCACCCUCCCAUGGCACAGAAGGUGAUGCUUGCCGCUGCCUUGUAUCCUAACAUAGCUCUACUCUUAACUCUCAACAUUCUGUUUGCUUUCUUUCUUUUUAAAUUUUUUAAAAUUUCAAGGUACUAUACAAGAAAGUUUCAGUCAAAGUAUAAUUUGGGGAUAUAAACAAAGAUUCUGAUCGUUCCUUUCUCUGUUGUAUAUAAGAGACUAAGGAAAGAUCCUGCCCUUGAGAUUUUACAAAUCACAAUAUUUAGCAAGACACAGAGGAAUGGGACCCCCCAUUCAGUGCUGGCAUGAAUGAAAAAACUGGUGUAAAAACUAGAGUGGUAGUUUCUAAAAAGAAAUUAAUAAUAAUACAAAAUUAUCAUAGAUUCAGAAAUUCCAUUCAUUUGUAUCAAGUAAGAGAAAUAAAAAUGUACACACAAAAAAAAAAAAAAAAAAA
This 1262-nucleotide long non-coding RNA is filed under the name Mus musculus (house mouse). RNAcentral describes it as "RIKEN cDNA 2610203C22 gene (2610203C22Rik)". Lineage: Eukaryota; Metazoa; Chordata; Mammalia; Rodentia; Muridae. The record is from RNAcentral.